ACGGCUCAGUAACACGUCGGUAACCUACCCUCGGGGGGGGAUAAUCCCGGGAAACUGGGGCUAAUCCCCCAUAGGCCUGGGGUACUGGAAGGUCCCCAGGCCGAAAAGGGCUCUCGCCCGCCCGAGGAUGGGCCGGCGGCCGAUUAGGUAGUUGGUGGGGUAACGGCCCACCAAGCCGAAGAUCGGUACGGGCUGUGAGAGCAGGAGCCCGGAGAUGGACACUGAGACACGGGUCCAGGCCCUACGGGGCGCAGCAGGCGCGAAACCUCCGCAAUGCGGGAAACCGCGACGGGGGGACCCCGAGUGCCGUGGCAUCGCCACGGCUUUUCCGGAGUGUAAAAAGCUCCGGGAAUAAGGGCUGGGCAAGGCCGGUGGCAGCCGCCGCGGUAA
RNAcentral lists this ribosomal RNA (390 nucleotides) under uncultured archaeon. RNAcentral's name for it is "partial 16S ribosomal RNA". It matches the Rfam family "Archaeal small subunit ribosomal RNA", at positions 85 to 473 of the family's 1478-position model. The record is from RNAcentral.